Epinephelus fuscoguttatus (brown-marbled grouper) is the source of this 348-nucleotide long non-coding RNA. RefSeq lists it as uncharacterized. The record is from RefSeq and is a predicted model, not a curated record. The transcript has 3 exons. NCBI's taxonomy places the organism in Eukaryota, Metazoa, Chordata, Actinopteri, Perciformes, Serranidae.
CAUUCAUUUUUUCUGAAGGCAGUGGAAAACUAUGGCUGGCCUUCCAGGGUCAGGGGCGAUGAAGGCGUUGAAAAUGUCUCAAUUGCUGAAACCAUGUGUGCAUAAUCAAAGGAUAGAACGCCUCUGGCGAGAUGUCUGGACCAGUGUGACACACCUUUACAAUGAAGUUCUUCACAGUCUCGAGGAAGAUGGCCUGUUGCAUUUGGCAGAUGUUGUUCAUCUGUUUUGUGCCCACUAUGUUUUCCUUCCAUGCCUGGCAGAGGCCCUUCACACCUUCACAGAAGGCUGGGACAACCAUCCUUUACGGUCUGAAGGUGGACUCUCCCCAAACCAGCUCUGGGUUUUGGG